GGCUACAUAGCUCAGUUGGUAGAGAAUGAGACUCUUAAUCUCUUGGUUAUGGGUUCAAGCCAAAGAUUCCUGCGUUGCAGACU
Non-coding RNA from Podarcis lilfordi (Lilford's wall lizard), 83 nucleotides. The record is from the annotation of a GenBank genome assembly. Lineage: Eukaryota; Metazoa; Chordata; Lepidosauria; Squamata; Lacertidae.